RNAcentral lists this ribosomal RNA (492 nucleotides) under uncultured bacterium. RNAcentral's name for it is "partial 16S ribosomal RNA". It matches the Rfam family "Bacterial small subunit ribosomal RNA", at positions 31 to 507 of the family's 1533-position model. The record is from RNAcentral.
AGGGAAAGAGGGAGGUAGGACUAACACAUGCAAGUCGAACGGCAGCACAGUAAGAGCUUGCUCUUACGGGUGGCGAGUGGCGGACGGGUGAGGAAUACAUCGGAAUCUACUUUUUCGUGGGGGAUAACGUAGGGAAACUUACGCUAAUACCGCAUACGACCUACGGGUGAAAGCAGGGGAUCUUCGGACCUUGCGCGAUUGAAUGAGCCGAUGUCGGAUUAGCUAGUUGGCGGGGUAAAGGCCCACCAAGGCGACGAUCCGUAGCUGGUCUGAGAGGAUGAUCAGCCACACUGGAACUGAGACACGGUCCAGACUCCUACGGGAGGCAGCAGUGGGGAAUAUUGGACAAUGGGCGCAAGCCUGAUCCAGCCAUACCGCGUGGGUGAAGAAGGCCUUCGGGUUGUAAAGCCCUUUUGUUGGGAAAGAAAAGCAGCAGGUUAAUACCCCGCUGUUCUGACGGUACCCAAAGAAUUAGCACCGGCUAACUUCGUG